AUCUCCACAUGUACACACAUACACUGAUCAUCCAUCUCCACAUGUACACACAUACACUGAUCAUCCAUCUCCACAUGUCCACACGUACACUGGUCAUCCGUCUCCACAUGUACCACACAUACACUGAUCAUCCAUCUCCACAUGUACACACGUACACUGAUCAUCCAUCUCCACAUGUACACACGUACACUGAUCAUCCGUCUCCACAUGUCCACACAUACACUGAUCAUCCAUCUCCACAUGUACACACGUACACUGAUCAUCCAUCUCCACAUGUACACACGUACACAGAUUUUUGUGGGUUCUUGGCUUGAUUUCUAUUUUGAACCCAUGGCUUGUUCAACAGUGUGAUGGUGAAUUUCUGACAUUUGGGAGUUUCUAAUGAUGGUCAUAGCAGACUGGUCUCUAAAAAUCAAAGUCAGAGAAAGCACACACAUGGUUUUAGCCCUUAAAUUAACUGAUCACACCAUCUGAGGCCCAGCAUGCCCCAUACAUGGUGAAAGGGUUGAAUAAGGUAGGGUUCUCUUGUGUUGUUCUUUCUGGUUUCUGGAAGGUAUGUUUAAAAUCUCCCUCUGACUGUGGAGUACACAAGUCUAAAAUCUGAUUAUGGUUUCCAUCUUCUGGGUAGAUUGGCCUCCAUAGCUCAGGGACAGAGUCUCCUCUGGAGACUUGGGGUGAUGUAGCCAUGUCCUGCCCAGGCAUACUUUUACAUCAUGUUGAAGAAAUAUGAACAAAUAGGACUGCUGGUGUUCCCUGCUCUGUCACCUG
This 768-nucleotide long non-coding RNA is filed under the name Rattus norvegicus (Norway rat). RNAcentral's name for it is "long non-coding RNA NONRATT027005". Lineage: Eukaryota; Metazoa; Chordata; Mammalia; Rodentia; Muridae. The record is from RNAcentral.